CAACCCUUAUCCUUUGUUGCCAGCGGUCAGGCCGGGAACUCAAAGGAGACUGCCAGUGAUAAACUGGAGGAAGGUGGGGAUGACGUCAAGUCAUCAUGGCCCUUACGACCAGGGCUACACACGUGCUACAAUGGCGCAUACAAAGAGAAGCGACCUCGCGAGAGCAAGCGGACCUCAUAAAGUGCGUCGUAGUCCGGAUUGGAGUCUGCAACUCGACUCCAUGAAGUCGGAAUCGCUAGUAAUCGUGGAUCAGAAUGCCACGGUGAAUACGUUCCCGGGCCUUGUACACACCGCCCGUCACACCAUGGGAGUGGGUUGCAAAAGAAGUAGGUAGCUUAACCUUCGGGAGGGCGCUUACCACUUUGUGAUUCAUGACUGGGGUGAAGUCGUAACAAGGUAACCGUAGGGGAACCUGC
This 416-nucleotide ribosomal RNA is filed under the name Salmonella enterica subsp. enterica serovar Orientalis. Its description in RNAcentral is "bacterial SSU rRNA". It matches the Rfam family "Bacterial small subunit ribosomal RNA", at positions 1099 to 1515 of the family's 1533-position model. The record is from RNAcentral. Lineage: Bacteria; Pseudomonadati; Pseudomonadota; Gammaproteobacteria; Enterobacterales; Enterobacteriaceae.